GGUUUGCUGCGGUGUGCGUGAUACACAAAAUUUAUCCCGGAGGCCGAUGCUUUUCGCAUAGGGAACUGUCCCUGACCUUAUCCACUCUCCCGCCUUUGAGCGGUAUACGGCAUUGGGGAUUUGGUUAUUACGGUGCCCACCUGGUUACCAGGGCCCCAUGCGGAUAUCAACGUUGUACACGGCACUUGCGGCGCCCAC
RNAcentral lists this non-coding RNA (198 nucleotides) under Alphaproteobacteria bacterium. RNAcentral describes it as "6S RNA". It matches the Rfam family "6S / SsrS RNA". From Rfam's summary of the family: E. coli 6S RNA was the first non coding RNA to be sequenced, but its function was unknown until recently. It consists of 184 nucleotides that fold into an extended hairpin structure with a large single-stranded internal bulge. The 6S RNA specifically associates with RNA polymerase holoenzyme containing the sigma70 specificity factor. Lineage: Bacteria; Pseudomonadati; Pseudomonadota; Alphaproteobacteria. The record is from RNAcentral.